GACGAACGCUGGCGGCGUGCUUAACACAUGCAAGUCGAACGGAAAGGCCCUGCUUUUGUGGGUUGCUCGAGUGGCGAACGGGUGAGUAACACGUGAGUAACCUGCCCUUGACUUUGGGAUAACUUCAGGAAACUGGGGCUAAUACCGGAUAGGAGCUCCUGCUGCAUGGUGGGGGUUGGAAAGUUUCGGCGGUUGGGGAUGGACUCGCGGCUUAUCAGCUUGUUGGUGGGGUAGUGGCUUACCAAGGCUUUGACGGGUAGCCGGCCUGAGAGGGUGACCGGCCACAUUGGGACUGAGAUACGGCCCAGACGCCUACGGGAGGCAGCAGUGGGGAAUAUUGCACAAUGGGCGGAAGCCUGAUGCAGCAACGCCGCGUGCGGGAUGACGGCCUUCGGGUUGUAAACCGCUUUCGCCUGUGACGAAGCGUGAGUGACGGUAAUGGGUAAAGAAGCACCGGCUAACUACGUG
This 468-nucleotide ribosomal RNA is filed under the name uncultured bacterium. RNAcentral describes it as "partial 16S ribosomal RNA". It matches the Rfam family "Bacterial small subunit ribosomal RNA", at positions 28 to 507 of the family's 1533-position model. The record is from RNAcentral.